RNAcentral lists this ribosomal RNA (366 nucleotides) under Herbaspirillum sp. 48R. RNAcentral describes it as "bacterial SSU rRNA". It matches the Rfam family "Bacterial small subunit ribosomal RNA", at positions 974 to 1345 of the family's 1533-position model. The record is from RNAcentral. Lineage: Bacteria; Pseudomonadati; Pseudomonadota; Betaproteobacteria; Burkholderiales; Oxalobacteraceae.
CCUACCCUUGACAUGGAUGGAAUCCCGAAGAGAUUUGGGAGUGCUCGAAAGAGAACCAUCACACAGGUGCUGCAUGGCUGUCGUCAGCUCGUGUCGUGAGAUGUUGGGUUAAGUCCCGCAACGAGCGCAACCCUUGUCAUUAGUUGCUACGAAAGGGCACUCUAAUGAGACUGCCGGUGACAAACCGGAGGAAGGUGGGGAUGACGUCAAGUCCUCAUGGCCCUUAUGGGUAGGGCUUCACACGUCAUACAAUGGUACAUACAGAGGGCCGCCAACCCGCGAGGGGGAGCUAAUCCCAGAAAGUGUAUCGUAGUCCGGAUUGGAGUCUGCAACUCGACUCCAUGAAGUGGAAUCGCUAGUAAUCGC